AGCCAGCUGCUAAUUUGGUUGAAACAUCUUUUCCCUUCAUUUCUUGUGAAUGAAACAGAACUGCCCUCUCCAGGCUUCCUUCCUGACGCAGGAGCAUCAUGUCCUACUGGCUGUGCCCACCACACUCAGCACCUCUGUGCAUUGAAUUUAGAGCUU
This 156-nucleotide long non-coding RNA is filed under the name Anas platyrhynchos platyrhynchos (common mallard). RNAcentral's name for it is "lncRNA (ENSAPLG00000019527.1)". Lineage: Eukaryota; Metazoa; Chordata; Aves; Anseriformes; Anatidae. The record is from RNAcentral.